This 475-nucleotide ribosomal RNA is filed under the name uncultured bacterium. RNAcentral's name for it is "bacterial SSU rRNA". It matches the Rfam family "Bacterial small subunit ribosomal RNA", at positions 18 to 518 of the family's 1533-position model. The record is from RNAcentral.
UCUGGCUCAGAACGAACGCUGGCGGCAUGGAUUAGGCAUGCAAGUCGAACGGUGCAGCAAUGCAUAGUGGCGCAAGGGUGAGGAACACGUGAGUAAUCUGCCCUCGAGUUUGGAAUAGCUCCUGGAAACGGGAAUUAAUACCGGAUGGUAUCUGGUUGACGCAUGUUGACUGGAUGAAAGCAGCAAUGCGCUUGAGGAUGAGCUCGCGUCCCAUUAGCUAGUUGGUGAGGUAACGGCCCACCAAGGCGAUGAUGGGUAGCUGGUCUGAGAGGACGAUCAGCCACACUGGGACUGAGAACUGCCCAGACUCCUACGGGAGGCUGCAGUCGAGAAUUUUGGGCAAUGGGCGAAAGCCUGAACCCCAGCAAUGCCGCGUGCGGGAUGAAGGUCUUCGGAUUGUAAACCGCUGUCAAGAGGGACGAAAAUUGACGGUACCUCUGAAGGAAGUCACGGCUAACUACGUGCCAGCCGCGGC